This 413-nucleotide ribosomal RNA is filed under the name uncultured bacterium. Its description in RNAcentral is "bacterial SSU rRNA". It matches the Rfam family "Bacterial small subunit ribosomal RNA", at positions 505 to 916 of the family's 1533-position model. The record is from RNAcentral.
GUGCCAGCAGCCGCGGUAAUACGAAGGGUCCGAGCGUUGCGCGGAAUCAUUGGGCUUAAAGCGUGCNUAGGCGGAACCGCAAGUACCUUGUGAAAGCCCCCGGCUCAACCGGGGAAUUGCUCGGUAGACUGCGGUUCUUGAGCCCGGUAGGGGCGGCCGGAACGAUAGGUGUAGCGGUGAAAUGCGUAGAUAUCUAUCGGAACGCCGAAGGUGAAGACAGGCCGCUGGGCCGGUGCUGACGCUGAGGCACGAAAGCGUGGGGAGCGAACGGGAUUAGAUACCCCGGUAGUCCACGCCCUAAACGAUGCGCACUAGGUCCCGGAAUCUCUGACGAUCUCGGGGCCGAAAAGAAAUCGAUAAGUGCGCCGCCUGGGGAGUACGGUCGCAAGAUUAAAACUCAAAGGAAUUGACGG